CCAGAAUAUGGUUGUUAGUAAAUGAUAAUGUGUUGUUAUUGGGCAGAGUAUUCUAUCAAUGUCAGUGUUAUCAGAUUGGUUAAUAGGGUUGUACAAGUCUUCUAUAUCAUUGAUUUUCUACCUAUUUUUUUUAUCAUUGAGAGAAGAUUAACCAUAAUGGCUUUUUCUCUUUUUCCUUUUAGUUCUAUUUCUUUCUGCUUUAUAUAGUUUGAAGCUCUGUCAUGUGGUGUGAAAUGUUAGGAUUGAUUAAUUGACCCCAUUAUCAUGAUUGAUUGAUUACUUCAUUUGUUCCAUUUGGCUAGCAAAAGUCAUAUCAGUUUGGCUCCUGGAUAUUUUUGACACAAUUUCAAGUUUUUCAUAGCCUCCUUGUUUCUGGCAUUAUAAGAUAUUCCAAAAUAAUUUGUGCAUGUCCUUCUGCAAACCUGGAGUAAAUCGUUUCUCCCAGAAGCGUAGCUCCUUUUGUUGGAAAAUGUUACUUAGAGACUAUAAUCUGUGUGCUAGGGUUUCUUAUAGGUAUUCCAUGGUAGCCAUAUUAUCUAGGCUUUUUCAGUGGGCAGAGCUAGGAAAUUCAGAUUUUUUAAAAUGAGAAAAAGAAAUCCUAGUUUACAGUGACAUUUCCAAUUAAAAAAAAUUUUUUUUUUUUUUUUGGUAUCAGGGAUUGAACCCAGGGACACUUACAC
Molecule: long non-coding RNA, 680 nt
Filed under: Marmota monax (woodchuck)
Lineage: Eukaryota; Metazoa; Chordata; Mammalia; Rodentia; Sciuridae
Source: RNAcentral